GGAAACCUGUUGCACACUGAAUAUUCCCAUCUAAUAUUGCUGACGAUAGAUGAGAGCUUCCAUCCCUAGAGAUUCUCAAAACCUCAUUGUUUCCCAGUUCAUUAGUUUGCUCAGGGAGCUUAGCUUCUAUGCUAUGUGUCCUUUCUGGUUGCCUUAACACUUUGCUUCCUUCGACAACUGGUGAACCAGACUGUUCUUCGGUUAAUGUGGAUGCAGAAUACCAGUUGCCAGCCGUUGCAGUCACAGAUGGUCCAUCUGUCACAUUACUAAUUGAAGAUGCUUUUUUUACCGGGCCAAAGCUUUUCAGAUGUUCAUCAUCCAACUUUGAUUCUUUAAAAGGGCUAGACUGAUGUUCAGUACACUUUGAAUCCAAGGACUUUUCUGGAGUAAAUACCA
Molecule: unclassified non-coding RNA, 396 nt
Filed under: Hevea brasiliensis (rubber tree)
Lineage: Eukaryota; Viridiplantae; Streptophyta; Magnoliopsida; Malpighiales; Euphorbiaceae
Source: RNAcentral